Molecule: long non-coding RNA, 350 nt
Filed under: Trifolium pratense (red clover)
Lineage: Eukaryota; Viridiplantae; Streptophyta; Magnoliopsida; Fabales; Fabaceae
Description: long non-coding RNA (TPRA_LNC005616)
Source: RNAcentral
GACAACCUUGGUGGCAGCACUUACUUUUAGCCUGUGUGGCAGAACUUAUUAUUUAGUCUGUGUGGCAGAUUUUCUUAUCCGGAUCAUUGUCUCAUAUAGGAUUGUCUUAGUUGCAUUGCAUUGCAUAUAAAGAGGAAGAAAAUUAACAAUAGUAGAUAAUUAUCCUGGGCAUAAAAGAACCAACGUAAAAAGGAAGAAAAAGUAUAGUUAGUCUAUGGUAAAGCGGUGAUCGUUGCCUUCUCCUCUUUCAUUUGAUUUUGUGGUGCAAUUUGUAAUAUGUGUAAUUAUGUUGCUUUGUUUAUUACUGCCGUUUAACAAUUAUAUGAUGCCUAUGUUUGUAUAUAUGUAUC